UCCACUAUUUUCAAUUUCGAA
This 21-nucleotide non-coding RNA is filed under the name Caenorhabditis elegans. The record is from RNAcentral. Lineage: Eukaryota; Metazoa; Nematoda; Chromadorea; Rhabditida; Rhabditidae.